UACGGGGGGGCAAGCGUUGUUCGGAAUUACUGGGCGUAAAGGGCUCGUAGGCGGCCAACUAAGUCAGACGUGAAAUCCCUCGGCUUAACCGGGGAACUGCCUCUGAUACUGGAUGGCUUGAGAUUGGGAGAGGGAUGCGGAAUUCCAGGUGUAGCGGUGAAAUGCGUAGAUAUCUGGAGGAACACCGGUGGCGAAGGCGGCAUCCUGGACCAACACUGACGCUGAGGAGCGAAAGCCAGGGGAGCAAACGGG
Molecule: ribosomal RNA, 252 nt
Filed under: uncultured bacterium
Lineage: Bacteria
Description: partial 16S ribosomal RNA
Rfam family: Bacterial small subunit ribosomal RNA
Source: RNAcentral